RNAcentral lists this long non-coding RNA (553 nucleotides) under Brassica napus (rape). Its description in RNAcentral is "long non-coding RNA (BNAP_LNC005200)". Lineage: Eukaryota; Viridiplantae; Streptophyta; Magnoliopsida; Brassicales; Brassicaceae. The record is from RNAcentral.
UGGUAACAUAUGUUGUAGUAUUGUUUGUAUUUUUUAAGGUUAGAUUUUGGAAGCUUAACAUUUUUGAAAAAUUAAAAUUUAACCUAUAUAUGUCUAGUUUCGUGUAUAUUAAACAAUUUCAAAAUAUAUUUUAAGUUUAGUGAAGUGUUCUUUUAUUUAGUUAGUUAUUUCAGUUUAGUGUAUAAAUUUAGGGUCUAUAAGACUUCUUCUGGGCGAGUAGUAUAUUUAGAGGUAGAAGACUUCUUUAAAAGUCUUCUGAAUCGAAAAUAUGUAACGUAAAUGAAAUUUUUUUAUCUCCAUAUAUAAGGAAAAUGUACAUAUUCUCUAUUUUCCUCUCAAAUGGCUGCAACAAAAAUGUAAUGAUUCCCAAUAAAACUCUCAAACCUCUCUCUAAUCUCUUUGAACUUGAAAACAUCAAAUCUUAUAUGAAUUUUUCAUUUUUUUUUGUUUCAUCUCACUAAUUUAUCUUGUUUUUGCAGAUUUUAUAUCAUAUGGUUCUCAUCUUCCACUUCUUUAAACAUAAAUCUAUAAAUUUUGGAUAUCUAUUUUUUUU